GUCUAUAGCCAUGCUACCCUGAACAAGCCCGAUUCCGUCUGAUCUCGGAAGCUAAGCAUGGUCGGGCCUGGUUAGUACUUGGAUGGGAGACCACCUAGGAAGACCAGGUGCUGUAGGUG
Molecule: ribosomal RNA, 119 nt
Filed under: Pteropus alecto (black flying fox)
Lineage: Eukaryota; Metazoa; Chordata; Mammalia; Chiroptera; Pteropodidae
Also listed under: 1 other name
Source: RNAcentral